This is a long non-coding RNA of Aegilops tauschii subsp. strangulata, 3096 nucleotides long. RefSeq lists it as uncharacterized. NCBI's taxonomy places the organism in Eukaryota, Viridiplantae, Streptophyta, Magnoliopsida, Poales, Poaceae. The record is from RefSeq and is a predicted model, not a curated record.
UCAUCCCGCAGCUCUUCUCCGUGCCGCCGCCGCCUCCGCUCCCCCUUCCUCUCGGCCGCAGCCUCGUCUCCGCCGCCUCCACCACCUCCUCCUCCCAUGCCUCUCCUCGUCCCCUCCCUCUCCCUCCGUGCUCAAUCGCAGGAGCCGGGGUCGCUGCCGCACCGCACGAUGGUGGGCGAGGGCGAGCUCCGUGCUUCCCGCCGCUCCCAGCCACCGGGCGCCGUCCUGUCGACGCAGCCCACCGCACGCUGCCACCAGCGUCUUCUUCGCUGCGGUAGAGGCACAACUUGGGCCUGGGGAACCUGCCAGCGGGGGUGCGUCGGCGCCGGCGUCGUCUCCAUGAGAGGGACGAAUCAGGACGGAUCCAAGUUGCCGACGGCUUUGCUGCCAUGGACGAGCCCGAGCCCAGCGACCAAGGACGGCACUACAUUGUCAUCUGCACAGCCAAAUCAAGGACCUAAGCUCCUGGAACGGCCCUCCUAUGCCCUGCUCCUCGCAUUGGCGCAAAUUCGCCUCCUCCCCCGCCUUCGUCUCCAUCUGUGCAGCGACGACCUCGGGAGGAGCUCGAGCCGCAGCGGUGGUCCAUGGUGCCAUCGCCGUCGUCCUUGGCAGGAGAAGCGUGGGCUGCAGAGACGGCCGGAUCUGUCCGACCCUCGUGCUGCCGUCCGUCCACCCUCGAGGAUAAUCUGUUUGUUCAGCUGAUCUGUACAGUUUCAAUACCGGGUUGUUAAGGAGAUUGCAAAUGAUGCAUAUUCUAUGAGUUGCAGACCCCCCAACAGCAAAUUCAGUCCUACGUCUUUGAAUUUCUUAGAACUUCGAUCCAGUCUGGUCCUCAGCAGAGGCAAUCAAGAACUUGUACGAGUAGAGCUGUCCUAGAGACUGCAUUUAUACGUAAGCAAAGAGAACACAUAAUCAAUUUCUACUACCAGCUACAAAGUUCAUUGUACGAUGCGUACAAAUUAUUGAUCUCAUUUUUCAGAAUAAAGCUGCAGGCCGAGUUCAGAUUGUUCUUUUGCCGGAAAUGGAACAGGUCCAAUGUCAUGGGAGAGCCACCAGUUCAGAUGAAUUUCUAUCUAUUCGCUUAUUUCCUGUUUCUUUUGGCUUCCCCAAUCCUAAAGGUAAUAAUAUGAUUUCUUUAUGUUGUGUGACCAAAUUCAGAAGUGAACUUUUGCUGUUUAUAUGCUCAGUGUGCCCUAUACAUGUUGUUUGGAAAUUCUUUUUCUCUGCAACCUAGAUUCGUUCUGCUCCCCAUUUUUCCUUUUUCUGUUGCCAUGAGCCUAUGCCCGGGAUCCUAAUAUAGUGCCAUAUUUCGUCCUUAGACACUGUUUUGGUUGAUUUUAGUUCUUGCUAAACUCCACCCAAUGCAUAUUUUCUGUUAUCCCGAGGAUGGUGCUUAGGCAGGCUCUGGUUUCAGAUCUGGCCUAUAUUCAGUUUUAGAGAGAAUUAGCACAGAUUUGGGGAUUCUCCUUAUAACAAUGAAAGAAAGCAUCUGAGUUUAAGAUUGAGGCAAUAUUUCUGUUCAGUUAGGACUUAGUAUUGUGUUCUGAUGGCUAGAGAACAGAGAACAAUUCUCCUUCACUUCCUGAUAGCUGAAACUGGUUCGCACGAUUAACUUGUUGUAGAUAUUAUAUUUGUUCUUCACAAAAAAGAUUGCCGUGGACUAUGUGAUGCACAUGGCUGAUUGACUGAAUAUUUUGUUAAGGGUGAAAAUACUGCAGGGCCUUCCUCUGAAGUGUGUUAUUGAUGAACCAGCAGCCUGUCGUAGCAAGGGAUGAGAUGACCUGAUGAGUAGAAAAAUUGAAGGAAUAACACUGCAUAUUCAUGAGUCGAGUUCCUCUGUUUUGCAAUCCCAUAGGUAGGAUUCAGAUGGACAUAACAGUGGCAACAAAUUAGACCUUUCGCCUCCUCUCUGAAGAGAAACGCACGACUUCAGUUUGUUUAGUUUUUUUGCUGUCAUAAUAAGACCCUGAAACCAUCUUCCAUCGAACACAUAUCUGUAGUAUAUAUACUAUGUACAGGGUGCAAACAUGGACAUUUAUGCAGAUAAAUAUAUUUGCUGACCAAGCAAUUCCCCUCUUUUGAGACAAAGUGAUGCCCUGUUGCAUGUAUGAUGUAUCUCAGUUCAUGUUCUUCAUCAUUUAAGUGUUUCGGAUGAUCAUCCUUGUUUCUAUGGAUUGCCAUUUUGUCCAACGAGAACAGUGAAACAUCAAAUUUAGUUAACCAUCUCAUAUCUGCAUUUGCUUUGUGAUGUUUCCGUUCUACCUACAAUAUUUGAAAUACGAUAUUUUAUUGCUCACUGGGAACAAGCAUCACUUUCUUGUAAUAUCUUUAUCUUCCUUGAGUUUUUCCGUGAGUUUGUGCUACGCUGCUAUGCUGCCAAAGAGCUCCAGCAAGCAUGUGUGCCUACUCUCCUUGCCCCUAAACUCCUGUACCAGCAACAACAACUCGUGUGUGGUAUCAGCCAGAGAUUAGUGUUGAUUUUUUUCAAGUUAUUGGGACACUCGAGAACUAGCAGUACGACAUAAAAACGUCUGGAGUUAGCAGAACCAGAAGCAUUAUACUGAGGCGCUCAGAAGAAACCCAAAGGAUCCAAAGGCAUACGGCAACACGGCUGCCUGUUACACCAAGACAGGUGCCAUGCCUGAAGUACUGAAGGAUACCGAGAAGUGCAUCGAGCUAGAUCCCACAUUCUACAAGGGGUACACGAGGAAGGGUGCAAUCCUGUUUGUCUCUAAAGAAUGCGACAAAGCAAUGGAAUGAGCGUGCCUGAGUGGUAACAUAUAUUGCUGAUCGUCUUAGCGAUACAACAACAGUCUGAAUAUGAUCUCCAGCAAACAAACCACUAUUAUUGGAGCCUGGACGAUGAUAUCGAAGGAAUUUCUGCUCUGAGCAAUGCAGGCUACGAAGAAUAGCAGUUAUGAAGAGCUGCCUCAAAGAAGUUGUUCUAAACAUCCAGCGAUACAUCUGUCUAACGUAUCUCUGCCUAUCUACAUGCCUUGCUCAUAACAUUGUUAAUGAUCGUUCGUAAGCUUCUUAGAAAACAUGUAUCAUCAGCAACAAUCUAUCUAUCAUCAAUCCAUACUUCCAUAUGUUUCA